RNAcentral lists this ribosomal RNA (445 nucleotides) under uncultured bacterium. RNAcentral's name for it is "bacterial SSU rRNA". It matches the Rfam family "Bacterial small subunit ribosomal RNA", at positions 330 to 792 of the family's 1533-position model. The record is from RNAcentral.
UCCAGACUCCUACGGGAGGCAGCAGUGGGGAAUAUUGCACAAUGGGGGAAACCCUGAUGCAGCGACGCCGCGUGAGUGAAGAAGUAUUUCGGUAUGUAAAGCUCUAUCAGCAGGGAAGAUAAUGACGGUACCUGACUAAGAAGCCCCGGCUAACUACGUGCCAGCAGCCGCGGUAAUACGUAGGGGGCAAGCGUUAUCCGGAUUUACUGGGUGUAAAGGGUGCGCAGGUGGCAGGGCAAGUCAGAUGUGAAAGCCCGGGGCUCAACCCCGGUAUUGCAUUUGAAACUGUCCGGCUAGAGUGCAGGAGAGGUAAGCGGAAUUCCUAGUGUAGCGGUGAAAUGCGUAGAUAUUAGGAGGAACACCAGUGGCGAAGGCGGCUUACUGGACUGUAACUGACACUGAGGCACGAAAGCGUGGGGAGCAAACAGGAUUAGAUACCCGAGUA